RNAcentral lists this ribosomal RNA (776 nucleotides) under uncultured Neocallimastigales. RNAcentral describes it as "partial large subunit ribosomal RNA". It matches the Rfam family "Eukaryotic large subunit ribosomal RNA", at positions 23 to 644 of the family's 3401-position model. The record is from RNAcentral. Lineage: Eukaryota; Fungi; Neocallimastigomycota; Neocallimastigomycetes; Neocallimastigales.
AGAGAGAGACAUGCGCGCAUAUCAAUAAGCGGAGGAAAAGAAACUAACAAGGAUUCCCUUAGUAACGGCGAGUGAAGCGGGAAGAGCUCAAAUUUGAAAUCUUCAAGGUUCUACCUUGACGAAUUGUAGUUUAUAAGAAGUGUUUUCUGUUAGUGGAGUGGCAAAAGUUCUUUGGAAUAGGACAUCAUAGAGGGUGAGAAUCCCGUAUUUGGUCAUUCCUCCUAGCGUUGUGAUACACUUUCAACGAGUCGGAUUGUUUGGGAAUGCAGUCCAAAAUGGGUGGUAAAUUUCAUCUAAAGCUAAAUAUUGGCGAGAGACCGAUAGCGAACAAGUACCGUGAGGGAAAGAUGAAAAGAACUUUGAAAAGAGAGUUAAACAGUACGUGAAAUUGUCAAAAGGGAAGCGUUUGACACCAGUGUUGUUUUUCCGAAAAUCAAUUACGAAUGUUUUAUUUUUGAGGAGUUAUGACUUCAUCGGCUUGCUCCUUUCUUUACGAAACUUUCUUAAUGCACUUUUCGGUUAACAAGUCAACAUCAAUUUCUUUUGUUGUAAAAGGGUAUGAGGAAGGUGGCUUUCUUUUCGGAGAAAGUGUUUAUAGCCUCGUGCCUCUGCAAUCGGAGAGAUUGAGGUCUGCAGCGUAGAUCCUUCGGGGUUAGAUACAGUUUGUGCUAAGUUAUAGCUUUUCAUAGACAACUUGUUGACUAUGUUUAGUCUUGUAGCUUACUCGCUUAUGCUAUUUUACCUACGCUUAGGAUGUUGAUAGUCACAGCGUGUAC